This 391-nucleotide ribosomal RNA is filed under the name uncultured bacterium. Its description in RNAcentral is "bacterial SSU rRNA". It matches the Rfam family "Bacterial small subunit ribosomal RNA", at positions 97 to 520 of the family's 1533-position model. The record is from RNAcentral.
GGCGACCGGGUGAGUAACACGUGACUAACCUACCUCCAAGUGGGGAAUAACUCCGGGAAACCGGGGCUAAUACCGCAUAACAUCGCAAGAUCAAAGCAGCAGUGCGCUGGGAGAGGGGGCCGCGGCUGAUUAGCUAGUUGGCGGGGUAACGGCCCACCAAGGCGAAGAUCGGUAUCCGGCCUGAGAGGGCGCACGGACACACUGGAACUGAAACACGGUCCAGACUCCUACGGGAGGCAGCAGUGGGGAAUUUUGCGCAAUGGGGGAAACCCUGACGCAGCAACGCCGCGUGGAGGAUGAAGCCCUUUGGGGCGUAAACUCCUUUCGACCAAGACGAUGAUGACGGUACUGGUGGAAGAAGCACCGGCUAACUCUGUGCCAGCCGCCGCGG